Ananas comosus (pineapple) is the source of this 954-nucleotide long non-coding RNA. RefSeq lists it as uncharacterized. The record is from RefSeq and is a predicted model, not a curated record. Lineage: Eukaryota; Viridiplantae; Streptophyta; Magnoliopsida; Poales; Bromeliaceae. The transcript is spliced from 2 exons.
CAGCUGGUGCAUCUUCCAAGUUACAUCUUGCUUACCCCUGGAAGCAAUGGUCCUCUUCCCCUUGCACAGACAGAGAGCUUCGUAGAGUGUAACAGAAACGGCAAUUGGCACCUUCAUGUUACAAAACGUAUGUCUUACAUUUGGAGACGGCCGUCGAUGUUUUUGGGUCGAAGCCAAUGAUCAAGGUGAGCAUGGGCACAAAUAUUCCACCUCCGCCAACCCCCCCGACGCUUCCGAGAGCGGCCCCAAGGAAUCCGAUGAUCGAACCCAGUACGACCCUCCAUCCAAACUCAAGGUCCUGAGCAAUUCAGUCAAAAUCUCAACCGCAAGAACAUGCAAAUUACAUGAAGAAGAAGAGAUCGGUAGAACUACUGGAUUUCUAGAAUAACUUCUAUACUCGUGAAGUAGAAGUCAAACGUUUGACUUGCACAUAGUCAAGAGCUUUUUGACCAAUGUGAGCUUCUCAAUUAUAAGCGGAAGCUUCAACUUUAAAGCGGCCGCUUUCUAACAAGAAAGCUAUCAAAGCCUGCUUUUCAUAUGGCUUUUGCUCGGGCAAUUGUAAGAAGUUAACUUCGAAUGAAACUCAUACUGGCCAAACACGCUUCUUCGAAGAAUCGCCAUUGUUGAAGAGGCUAUCAAAAAUGUUGCUGAGGAUGUAUUUGUAGUCCCUCUCUCCAAACCCCUUGUAAAUGGAGCUAAUGCUAUUGUUGGUGCUUGUUUCAUUGAGGGAGUAUGCGAGGGGCCUUUUCGCAAAUACUGCUCUCAAUCCCAUGGCUAAGCUACAAUAAAAAACCAACAUUCCUACUAUUCUCCAGCUUUUCUCCUUUCUCACACCCAUUAUUUCUCUCCUCCUUAAAAAAAAAAACACUAAAAACCCAACUCAAAAAAGUGUUUGUUCUCCCUCUCUACUUCACUCACACUAUAUUAUGCAAGAGGAAUUGGGGAUGUUAUUCA